RNAcentral lists this ribosomal RNA (415 nucleotides) under Frigoribacterium sp. F187. RNAcentral's name for it is "bacterial SSU rRNA". It matches the Rfam family "Bacterial small subunit ribosomal RNA", at positions 117 to 546 of the family's 1533-position model. Lineage: Bacteria; Bacillati; Actinomycetota; Actinomycetes; Micrococcales; Microbacteriaceae. The record is from RNAcentral. RNAcentral also lists the same sequence under 5 other names.
GUGAGUAACCUGCCCUUGACUCUGGGAUAAGCGCUGGAAACGGCGUCUAAUACCGGAUACGAGCUUCAGCCGCAUGGCUAGGAGUUGGAAAGAAUUUCGGUCAAGGAUGGACUCGCGGCCUAUCAGCUAGUUGGUGAGGUAAUGGCUCACCAAGGCGACGACGGGUAGCCGGCCUGAGAGGGUGACCGGCCACACUGGGACUGAGACACGGCCCAGACUCCUACGGGAGGCAGCAGUGGGGAAUAUUGCACAAUGGGCGCAAGCCUGAUGCAGCAACGCCGCGUGAGGGACGACGGCCUUCGGGUUGUAAACCUCUUUUAGUAGGGAAGAAGCGAAAGUGACGGUACCUGCAGAAAAAGCACCGGCUAACUACGUGCCAGCAGCCGCGGUAAUACGUAGGGUGCAAGCGUUGUCC